This 80-nucleotide transfer RNA is filed under the name Citrobacter freundii. RNAcentral's name for it is "tRNA-Arg". It matches the Rfam family "tRNA". Rfam says of the family: Transfer RNA (tRNA) molecules are approximately 80 nucleotides in length. The record is from RNAcentral. Lineage: Bacteria; Pseudomonadati; Pseudomonadota; Gammaproteobacteria; Enterobacterales; Enterobacteriaceae.
GCGAACAUCGUAUAAUGGCUAUUACCUCAGCCUUCUAGCCUUCCUGGCUGAUGAUGUGGGUUCGAUUCCCGCUGUUCGCU